UACGAAGGGGGCUAGCGUUGCUCGGAAUCACUGGGCGUAAAGGGUGCGUAGGCGGGUCUUUAAGUCAGGGGUGAAAUCCUGGAGCUCAACUCCAGAACUGCCUUUGAUACUGAGGAUCUUGAGUUCGGGAGAGGUGAGUGGAACUGCGAGUGUAGAGGUGAAAUUCGUAGAUAUUCGCAAGAACACCAGUGGCGAAGGCGGCUCACUGGCCCGGAUACUGACGCUGAGGCACGAAAGCGUGGGGAGCAAACAGG
RNAcentral lists this ribosomal RNA (254 nucleotides) under uncultured bacterium. Its description in RNAcentral is "partial 16S ribosomal RNA". It matches the Rfam family "Bacterial small subunit ribosomal RNA", at positions 524 to 776 of the family's 1533-position model. The record is from RNAcentral.